CAACUUUCAGCAGUGGAUGUCUAGGCUCGCACAUCGAUGAAGAAUGCUGCGAACUGCGAUACGUAAUGCGAAUUGCAGGAUUCAGUGAGUCAUCGAAAUUUUGAACGCAUAUUGCACUUUCGGGUUAUGCCUGGAAGUAUGCCUGUAUCAGUGUCCGUA
This 159-nucleotide ribosomal RNA is filed under the name Pythium insidiosum. RNAcentral's name for it is "5.8S ribosomal RNA". It matches the Rfam family "5.8S ribosomal RNA". Rfam says of the family: 5.8S ribosomal RNA (5.8S rRNA) is a component of the large subunit of the eukaryotic ribosome. It is transcribed by RNA polymerase I as part of the 45S precursor that also contains 18S and 28S rRNA. The record is from RNAcentral. Lineage: Eukaryota; Oomycota; Peronosporomycetes; Pythiales; Pythiaceae.